GACGAACGCUGGCGGCGUGCUUAACACAUGCAAGUCGAGCGGUAAGGCCCUUUCGGGGGUACACGAGCGGCGAACGGGUGAGUAACACGUGGGUGACCUGCCCUCAGCUCUGGGAUAAGCCCGGGAAACUGGGUCUAAUACUGGAUAUGACUCCACGGUGCAUGCCGUGGGGUGGAAAGCCUUGUGCGGCCGAGGAUGGGCCCGCGGCCUAUCAGCUUGUUGGUGGGGUGAUGGCCACCAAGGCGACGACGGGUAGCCGGCCUGAGAGGGCGACCGGCCACACUGGGACUGAGACACGGCCCAGACUCCUACGGGAGGCAGCAGUGGGGAAUCUUGCGCAACGGGUGAAAGCCUGACGCAGCAACGCCGCGUGAGGGACGACGGCCCUCGGGUUGUAAACCUCUUUCAGCGGGGACGAGGCCGACGCGGUUAAUACCCGCGAGCGGUGACGCUACCCGCAGAAGAAGCCCCGGCUAACUACGUGCCAGCAGCCGCUGUAAC
RNAcentral lists this ribosomal RNA (501 nucleotides) under uncultured bacterium. Its description in RNAcentral is "bacterial SSU rRNA". It matches the Rfam family "Bacterial small subunit ribosomal RNA", at positions 28 to 524 of the family's 1533-position model. The record is from RNAcentral.